RNAcentral lists this ribosomal RNA (415 nucleotides) under uncultured microorganism. RNAcentral describes it as "bacterial SSU rRNA". It matches the Rfam family "Bacterial small subunit ribosomal RNA", at positions 9 to 420 of the family's 1533-position model. The record is from RNAcentral.
GAGUUUGAUACUGGCUCAGAUUGAACGCUGGCGGCAUGCCUUACACAUGCAAGUCGAACGGCAGCAUGAUCUAGCUUGCUAGAUUGAUGGCGAGUGGCGAACGGGUGAGUAAUACAUCGGAACGUGCCCUGUAGUGGGGGAUAACUAGUCGAAAGAUUAGCUAAUACCGCAUACGACCUGAGGGUGAAAGUGGGGGACCGCAAGGCCUCAUGCUAUAGGAGCGGCCGAUGUCUGAUUAGCUAGUUGGUGGGGUAAAGGCCCACCAAGGCGACGAUCAGUAGCUGGUCUGAGAGGACGAUCAGCCACACUGGGACUGAGACACGGCCCAGACUCUUACGGGAGGCAGCAGUGGGGAAUUUUGGACAAUGGGCGAAAGCCUGAUCCAGCAAUGCCGCGUGUGUGAAGAAGGCCUCGG